UACGUAGGGUGCAAGCGUUAAUCGGAAUUACUGGGCGUAAAGCGUGCGCAGGCGGUUUGGUAAGACAGAUGUGAAAUCCCCGGGCUUAACCUGGGAAUUGCAUUUGUGACUGCCCGGCUAGAGUGUGUCAGAGGGGGGUAGAAUUCCACGUGUAGCAGUGAAAUGCGUAGAUAUGUGGAGGAAUACCGAUGGCGAAGGCAGCCCCCUGGGAUAACACUGACGCUCAUGCGCGACAGCGUGGGGAGCAAACAGG
RNAcentral lists this ribosomal RNA (253 nucleotides) under uncultured bacterium. Its description in RNAcentral is "partial 16S ribosomal RNA". It matches the Rfam family "Bacterial small subunit ribosomal RNA", at positions 524 to 776 of the family's 1533-position model. The record is from RNAcentral.